CAAUAGCGUAUAUUAAAGUUGUUGCAGUUAAAAAGCUCGUAGUUGGAUUUCUGGUGGGAGCGAUCGGUCUGGCGCUUAGCGCGAGUACUUGCAUCGUCUCCGGCCAUCCUUGGGGAGAGUCUGUCUGGCAUUAGGUUGUCGGGCAGAGGAUCCUCAUCGUUUACUGUGAAAAAAUUAGAGUGUUCAAAGCAGGCUUAUGCCGUUGAAUAUAUUAGCAUGGAAUAAUAAGAUAGGACUUUGGUACUAUUUUGUUGGUUUGCGCACCAAAGUAAUGAUUAAUAGAGACAGUUGGGGGUAUUCGUAUUCCGUUGUCAGAGGUGAAAUUCUUGGAUUUACGGAAGACGAACUACUGCGAAAGCAUUUACCAAGGAUGUUUUCAUUAA
RNAcentral lists this ribosomal RNA (383 nucleotides) under uncultured eukaryote. RNAcentral's name for it is "partial 18S ribosomal RNA". It matches the Rfam family "Eukaryotic small subunit ribosomal RNA", at positions 592 to 976 of the family's 1831-position model. The record is from RNAcentral.